RNAcentral lists this ribosomal RNA (849 nucleotides) under uncultured bacterium. RNAcentral's name for it is "bacterial SSU rRNA". It matches the Rfam family "Bacterial small subunit ribosomal RNA", at positions 12 to 860 of the family's 1533-position model. The record is from RNAcentral.
UUUGAUCCUGGCUCCAGGACGAAACGCUGGCGGCGCGCCUAACACAUGCAAGUCGAGCGAUGCACCAUCCACGGAAUCUUUCGAGAUGAAGGGAAGUGGAAAUAGCGGCGGACGGGUGAGUAACACGUGAGUAACCUGCCUUUUACAAGGGGAUAGCCUCGGGAAACCGGGAUUAAUACCCUAUGAGACUCCUCUUUCGCAUGAAAGAGAAGUUAAAGCGAAUAAGCGGUAAAAGAUGGACUCGCGCCUGAUUAGCUAGUUGGUGGGGUAAGAGCCUACCAAGGCAACGAUCAGUAGCCGGCCUGAGAGGGUGAACGGCCACAUUGGAACUGAGACACGGUCCAAACUCCUACGGGAGGCAGCAGUGGGGAAUAUUGCACAAUGGAGGGAACUCUGAUGCAGCGACGCCGCGUGAGCGAAGAAGGCUUUCGAGUCGUAAAGCUCUGUCCUAUGGGAAGAUAGUGACGGUACCAUAGGAGGAAGCCCCGGCUAAUUACGUGCCAGCAGCCGCGGUAAUACGUAGGGGGCGAGCGUUGUCCGGAAUUACUGGGCGUAAGGGGUUCGCAGGCGGCUAUGCAAGUCUGGUGUGAAAGACGGAGGCUCAACCUCCGCAAGCAUUGGAAACUGUAUGGCUUGAGUGAAGGAGAGGCAAGUGGAAUUCCUAGUGUAGCGGUGAAAUGCGUAGAUAUUAGGAGGAAUACCAGUGGCGAAGGCGACUUGCUGGACUUCAACUGACGCUGAGGAACGAAAGCGUGGGGAGCAAACAGGAUUAGAUACCCUGGUAGUCCACGCCGUGAACGAUGAGUGCUAGGUGUCGGGGGUCAUACCUCGGUGCCGGAGCUAACGCAU